Molecule: ribosomal RNA, 810 nt
Filed under: uncultured bacterium
Lineage: Bacteria
Description: bacterial SSU rRNA
Rfam family: Bacterial small subunit ribosomal RNA
Source: RNAcentral
GGCGGCGUGGAUUAGGCAUGCAAGUCGAACGUGAAAGCGGAAUUUAUUUCGCGAGUAAAGUGGCGAACGGGUGAGUAACACGUGGGAAACCUGCCUUGAAGCGGGGGAUAACAUUUCUAACGGAAUGCUAAUACCGCAUAAUAUUUUCUGGCGCAUGUCAGAAAAUCAAAGGUGGCCUCUUCUUGAAAGCCAUCACUUUGAGAUGGUCCCGCGUCCAAUUAGCUUGUUGGUGGGGUAAUGGCCUACCAAGGCGACGAUUGGUAGCCGGCCUGAGAGGGUGACCGGCCACACUGGGACUGAGACACGGCCCAGACUCCUACGGGAGGCAGCAGUCGAGAGGCUUCGGCAAUGGGGGAAACCCUGACCGAGCGACGCCGCGUGGACGAUGAAGUAUUUCGGUACGUAAAGUCCUGUCAUGAGGGAUGAAAAGUCGAUUGGCUAAUACCCUUUCGAUCUGACAGUACCUCAAGAGGAAGCUCCGGCUAACUCCGUGCCAGCAGCCGCGGUAAUACGGGGGGAGCGAGCGUUAUUCGGAUUCAUUGGGCGUAAAGAGUUCGUAGGCGGCCUGAUAAGUCAGAGGUGAAAUCUAACGGCUUAACCGUUAGCCUGCCUUUGAAACUGUCAGGCUUGAGUAUUGGAGAGGAAAGCGGAAUUCUUGGUGUAGCGGUGAAAUGCGUGGAUAUCAAGAGGAACACCCGUGGCGAAAGCGGCUUUCUGGCCAAAUACUGACGCUGAGGAACGAAAGCUAGGGGAGCGAACGGGAUUAGAUACCCCGGUAGUCCUAGCCGUAAACGAUGGGCACUAGGUGUA